RNAcentral lists this ribosomal RNA (497 nucleotides) under uncultured Desulfobulbus sp. Its description in RNAcentral is "bacterial SSU rRNA". It matches the Rfam family "Bacterial small subunit ribosomal RNA", at positions 887 to 1382 of the family's 1533-position model. Lineage: Bacteria; Pseudomonadati; Thermodesulfobacteriota; Desulfobulbia; Desulfobulbales; Desulfobulbaceae. The record is from RNAcentral.
GCCCGCUCAGAAACUCAAAGGAAUUGACGGGGGCCCGGCACAAGCGGUGGAACAUGUGGUUUAAUUCGAUGCAACGCGAAGAACCUUACCUGGGCUUGACAUUAUAGUGACGGCCUGUGAAAGCAGGUUUUCUUUUCGGAGACACUAUAACAGGUGGUGCAUGGCUGUCGUCAGCUCGUGUCGUGAGAUGUUGGGUUAAGUCCCGCAACGAGCGCAACCCUUGCCUUUAGUUGCCAGCAGUUCGGCUGGGCACUCUAAAGGGACUGCCGGUGUUAAACCGGAGGAAGGUGGGGAUGACGUCAAGUCCUCAUGGCCUUUAUGACCAGGGCUACACACGUACUACAAUGGCCGAUACAAAGGGCAGCGACACUGCGAGGUGAAGCCAAUCCCGUAAAAUCGGUCUCAGUCCGGAUUGGAGUCUGCAACUCGACUCCAUGAAGUUGGAAUCGCUAGUAAUCGUGGAUCAGCAUGCCACGGUGAAUACGUUCCCGGGCCUU